UUUUUUUCUUUUUAUCGACAUGUGUAUAUAGUUUAGGGUUUAGGGUUUUAGGGGUUUAGUUAUUCUGGCUAGUUUUGUUAUUCUAUUUUUAACGAUUUUGAAUUGAUUUUCUUUAUUUUUUGUUUCAAUUUCAUCGUCAUGAUUUAAGGUCGCUGUUGUUCAUGUUUUGUUGUCCACAAUUGCUGCUUCCUUUUAAUUCAUAUGUGUGGAGAGAUCAUCAUGUUUGGAAAAAUUAUAUUCUUUUGAUUAAACUUUCCAUUCUUGCAAUUAGCAAAACUAAAUAUUUGAGAUAUCUUCCUUUAUAAGAUAAAAUUUUCUUUGCGUUUUUAACUCAAUUUUGUUUUCCUUUGUUAUUUCUUUAACUCUUUAGCCUGGCUAGUUUUUAACUCUCUUAUAUAUGUUCUUUUUUUUUUCCGCCAAUGUUUCCUAUAUUAUUGUGUUUAAAUGCUAAACCCAAUGAUAAUAUUUUAGUAUUUCAAUGUUUUAAUUUUUUAAAUGUUUCUCUGUAUGAUUGUAUGUUUUGUACUCUCUUUUCUCAAUACUUUGUUUAUGAAACCUUUAUAUGGGCCCAAACAAGAUGAAAAUUUAAAUACAAUGCCGACUCAAAAUCUGAUAUCAGUCAUAUGGGCCUUACCAAGCUCCAAAUAAGCCCAGUCCAUAUUUAACCCAAAUCUAAAUUGAUGCAUAUAGGCUCGCGUAAGUUACAUAUGGGGCCGAGGAAGAACUCCAAGACUUAGCCCAAGUCACACCCAAUUAUGUGGACUUUACACAGUCCUAUCUCAUGCUUGGGCCUUUAAAGGCCUUUCGGGCUUUGCGGACUUUUGGGCCUUCCGGGCUUACUUUUAUGAGUUUUAUUUGGUGAAGGCCUUGGGGCUUGGGGCCUUGGGGCCUUUUAAAGGCCUUCAGGCUUCGGGCUUUUAGGACCUUUAGGGGCUUUAGAAUUUCGGCCUUCAAGGUAUGGGCCGCGAUUGUGUGUGAAAAGCCCGGCCUUCUUUCCUUAUUUGGUAAAGUCUGUUUUUGGUGUGUUUCGUUUUUUACUAAAAAGGGAAAGUUUGGUUUUGGACCAUGUGUAAUCCACCGUUAUUAGCUUUUUACCCCACAUACACCCAUCAUAUGCUGGUCCCACAUGUCGGUUUAAUAGAAAUUUUGAUUUUGAUUUUUUUAUUUAAUUUUUGGUUUUGCAAAAAUAAAAAUGUGUAGUUGGUAAUAUAAGCAAAAAUCAACACGGCACAAAAUAUUGCCUUCUUAUGUAAUAGUAUAUAAACAAAAUUUUUUCCCUUUUUUUUACACAUCCCGGUUAAUGUUAAUUACAUUUCCUAAUUAAUGCAAUUGACGUGAUGCAUAUUCCAUAUGAAAUUAUCUGUUAUCAAAAUAAUAUGUGUGAUACUUGUUAAAAAAGACAUAAUGUUUUUCUUUUUUUUUUUCCAUUUUUUCUAUUUUUUUGUUUUUUUUUUUUGAGAGAGAUAGAACGAUAGUAAAUAAUCCCGCUACGUUCAUUUUUUAAAAAUUUAGAAAUAAAAACAAUUAUAAAUAUAAAGCAAUAAAGUUUCGACCUUAAAAUCUCUGAGUACUGAAUAAUAAAAGAAAAGUCCUAAGCCAGAAAUGCCAGAGUUCAGUGUUUAGGUUUUAGGGUUUUUAGGGUUUAGGGCUUUGUUUAGGAUUUAUGAUUCAGAGUUUAAUGGCAUAAUAUAGAAAUCUAAAAGUUUGAGCCAAUAUUUAAUUCACUGAUUUGUUGCUAAAUAGCACAUGCUUAAGUUUUAUUUUUAUAAUUGUCAGACAUUUAACUUUCAAAUUUGUUUUCAUUUAAGUAACUUUAGUAGAUUAAAUUGAGAGUUUUAUUAAAUUUAUUGAUAAUUUCANUGAUAUUGAUGGACAGUAUUGAUUACGUUUUUGGAGAUGAAAUUUUUAGUAUAAUUUUUGAAUUUCUAUAGUGAAAACCUGUAAAGUUUGCAUUAAUUUUUAUCACUAAAACUCGUUAGAUUUUCCUCCAUUGCAUUUUCUAUGUUUAUUUAACUUUCUUUCUCCUUAUUCUCUCAUUUUACUGAUCAUCAUUAAGCCACUCUUCUUUCUCUCUUUUUUUCCAUCUAUUUCUUUGUCCGUUCUACAAAAUGCUACAGAAUUUGCUCUAUUCUGCGUUUUUCUUCCUUAAUUUUGAUAUAUAUUUGGGAACCACAAUUUGAACAUUUAUUGGGGGCAAAGCUAAUCAAACUGCAGAUAAAUGUCCAAGACGAAUCUAAAUUGAAUUAUACGGACAUUAUCUGACCCAAUUCCAGCCCAAUGGGAAAAAGAACCCAAAUAUGAGGUUAAGCAUUUAGGCUUCCCCAAAGUUAUAAAUGGGCCUGGGUGUAAGCAAGUCUAAAACCAAUUACAACAAAUGUUAUGGGCUUUGCGUUCAGGUUUAGGGCCUUAAGGAGCAUACUUUUCUGAAUUUCAUUUUGUGUAGGGCCUUCGGGCUUGGGCGCUUGGGGCCUUUUAAAGGCCAUUCGGGCUUUCGGCUUUUAGGACCUUUAGGGGCUUUAUGGAUUUUAGGCUUCCGGGUACAGGCAUCGGGCUUUCAGCCUUGGGGCAAUUUAAAGAACAGUGUCGGACCUUAGGGGGCUUUCGGGGCUUAAGGAUUUCGGCCUUGGGGCUGUAUGGUUUUUUGUUUUAGGCUUUAAGCUUCGGGCUUUAGACAUUGGGGCUUGAGGUUUAGGGUUUUAGGGUUUAGUUGUCCACUCAAAGCAAAUCUUUGUAAUAUCUCUAACCAUUUCAUGUACAAAACGGAAUGGAUCAUGUGACAUGCACCCCACCACCUCAAGAUCAACUUAGAUUCGCCAUGCAAUAAAUAUAUAAAAAGACUACGCCACGUAUCAUUAAUAUAUUCAUUCAUUCAUGUUAAAAAAUUGUACCAAACUUUUCCUUUCUCCCCAUGGCCAUGAGAAAGGAAUCAAGCCCCCCAAAGCAAAAGCAAAGCUUGAAGAUAAAGAGCAAAGAGAGAGAUAUAAAAACGCCAAAAAUAUUAUAAAAAAAGCAUCUUUAACAUCAAAGCUCUCUUUACCUUUCAUCAUAGCAAACCCCCCCUAAAGCAAUUAAAUACUCAGAUGCUUCACCUCUCUUUUGCUUAGUUCACUCUUUCACCUACACAACUCCUCAAAUUAAACUAAGCCAUGGCUCGGAUAGAAGCUGUGAUCAUUUGCCUCUUGAUUGUGAUCAUGGAGUUUACUAAGUACUUAAUGGUGUUGUGAUUGAAAUAUAUAUACUUGUAGGGGAGGCACUUAAGGGUGUUCUUCAUUGAGUGCACUUUAUAGGGGAAAUUACUUACUAAGCCCAAGUCACACCCAAUUAUGUGGACUUUACACAGUCCUAUCUCAUGCUUGGGGCCUUUUAAAGGCCUUUCGGGCUUUGCAGACUUUAGGGCCUUCAGGGGCAUACUUUUAUGAGUUUUAUUUGGUGUAAGGCCUUGGGUCUUGGGGCCUUGGGCCUUUAAAAGGCCUUUCAGCCUUCAGGCUUUUAGGACAUUUAGGGGCUUUAGGAUUUCGGGCUUCAAAGUAUGGGCCGCGACAGUGUGUGAAAAGCCCGGCCUUCUUUCCUUAUUUGGUAAAGUCUGUUUUUGGCGUGUUUCGUUUUUUACCAAAAAAGAAAAGUUUGGGCUUUCAAUUUACAGCAUAUAUUACAACGAAGUGUACAGUGUAUCGCCCCUCGAAUGUGUGUCCAACAUGUCGGUUUAACGAAAAAUUUUAUUUUUAUUUUUAUAUAUAAUUUUUGGUUAUGCAAAAAUAAAAAUGUGUUGUUGGUAAUAUAAGCAAAAUGAAAACGGCACAAAAUAUUGCUUUCGUAUGUAACUUUUUUUUUACACAUUCUGGUUAACUUUAAUUUUAUUUCCUAAUUAAUGCAAUUGAUGCGAUGCAUAUUCUACGUGAAAUUAUCUGAUAUAAAAAUAAUGUGUGUGAUACUUAUUAGAAAAGAAAUAAUAUUUUAUUUUCCAUUUUUUCCAUUUUUUUUUUUUUGAGAGAUAGAACGGUAGCAAAUAACCCCGCUUUGUUCAUUUUUUUUUAGCUUUAGAAAUAAAAACAAUUAGAAAUGUCGUGUAGUUCGUCUAAUAUUUUUUCAAAAUGCUCAGGGGACAAGGCUACACAUAAUUCCAUGACGGAUGCAAUAGUUUUAAAAACACCAUGCCGCCCAUGCCAUGAAUAUAUAUAUCGCAUUUCCUUACAUCAUUGGCAUUACAUUUUAGGGUUUAGGGUUUGGGGUUUCGGGUUUAGGGUUUAGAGUUUUAGGGUUUGGGGUUUAGGGUUUUUUAGGGUUUAGGGUUUUAGGGUUUAGGGUUUGGGGUUUAGGGUUUUAGGGUUUAGGUUUUAGGGCUUAGGGCUUAGGGCUUUAGGGCUUAGGGGUUUAGGGUUUAGGGUUUAGGGUUUAGGGUUUAGGGUUUANAUGCAAUUGAUGUGAUGCAUAUUUUAUAUGAAAUUAUCUGUUACCAAAAUAAUAUGUGUGAUACUUAUUAGAAAAGACAUAAUAUUUUUGUUUCCUUUUUUUUUUUUUUUUAGAGUGAGAACGGUAGCAAAUAACCUCUCUUCGCUCAAUUUUAUUUUUUUUACUUUAGAAAUAAAAACAAUUAGAAAUGUAAAGCAAUAAAGUUUUGACCUUAAAAUCUCUGAGUAUUCAAUAAUAAAAAAAAAUCCUUAGCCAGAAAUGCUAGGGUUUAGAGUUUAGGUUUUAGGGUUAGGGUUUUGAAUUUUUAGGGUUUAGAAUUUAGAAUUUGGGCCCGGAAGUGGUCGGCGAAUCGGAGCUAGACUUGAUCUCGUCCAUUAAUAAAAAGUGUACUUAGUAAAACGUGCUGGACCAUUUAGUUAACACCGGUUCUCCUUCCAUCUCACAAUCACCCCCCCCUGACAAUUUUUUAAAUAGACCAUUUAUUAUUAUUAUUUUUUUUCAGUGAGACCUCUGUACUUUUUUUUUUUAAAGGAAUCAAUGUUGAGGGAGUGUAAUACACUAUUAAAUACAAAGGAUACUAUACAACGUACUAUGAUAUACAAAGUACAUUGAAAAUGGCCCCCCGGAACGGCCCACACAUAGAGGGACCUGGGCAUUAAAAGUAUAUAUUUGGGCUUAAUAGGCCGAAUUUUAUUAAUGGAUCAGGUGACGCCCAGUACUGGUUAGCCUUUUUUCUGCUCUAGGUUAAAUUGCGGUCUCGUUAAUAGCCCACAAAUGGAAAGCUUCACUUGUGGAGCAUAAUAUUAUGCUGUAAGUUGCCUUCUUUUUUCUUUUUCUUUUUUUUGGUGAUAAGUUAUUCUUUGGUUAAGGGCCUUUUUCUUUUGAGCAAUGAAAAAUAGAUAAAUUUGGAGAAAUCACACAAAAUUAUUCCUUUUUAUUUGUCGUAAUCAAAAAUAAAAUAUAUGAAGAACACCCGCUGUUUGUUUUUUAAAAAUUUAUCUUCUUUUUCUUUUUAUCGACAUGUGUAUAUGGUUUAGGGUUUUUAGGGUUUUAGGGGUUUAGUUAUUCUGACUAGUUUUGUUAUUCUAUUUUUAACGAUUUUGAAUUGAUUUUUUUUUUAUUUUUUGUUUCAAUUUCAUCGUCAUGAUUUAAGGUUGCUGUUGUUCAUGUUUUGUUGUCCACAAUUGCUGCUUCCUUUUAAUUCAUAUGUGUGCAGAGAUCAUCAUGUUUGAAAAAAUUUUAUUCUUUUGAUUAAACUUUCCAUUCUUGCAAAUUUUUUUUGGUAACAUUUUGUAGAGCAAAACCAAAUAUUC
Molecule: long non-coding RNA, 5723 nt
Filed under: Ananas comosus (pineapple)
Lineage: Eukaryota; Viridiplantae; Streptophyta; Magnoliopsida; Poales; Bromeliaceae
Description: long non-coding RNA (ACOM_LNC032064)
Source: RNAcentral